Molecule: long non-coding RNA, 1043 nt
Organism: Rattus rattus (black rat)
Lineage: Eukaryota; Metazoa; Chordata; Mammalia; Rodentia; Muridae
Exons: 3
Source: RefSeq, a predicted model, not a curated record
GGAAAAGGCAGCAAAGUCUUCUGGACAGUGGGAAACAACACAGCCAUAACGUUGGUGACCGACAGUAGGCCAAAGAAUGUGUUGGCUCGUGGAUGCAUCUUCUUUAACCUGAAUUAAAAACCCUUCCAGUGGACAAAUCUGGAGAAUGGUGGAAGAUUGGCAGUGGACUCAGCUCAAUUGCACAUGCAUCGUCAUGGGGUAAUUAUGUCUAUUAUUUUCCAUGCCUUGGCUCAAUAGAAUGGGAUCAGUUAACCAUGUGAUUUGUUCCCCUACUCUCCAGUAUGUGUUCAAUAGAUGUUAAAUUAUAAAAAGCAAUGAUAUUGUCUGUCUUAUAUUUCUUGGUGUCCAGAUCUUUUUCAGGAUUCAUUACAGAACAUACUUGUUGAGUGAUUGGAAGAAAUUAGAUAUUCUACAGGGCGCUUUUCAAAUUUCUUUACAAGUAAAAAAAUGUCUAUAAAUAUUUGAAAUAGGAGCUUGGAUAACUUCUCAUUUUCUCAUAUUCUUCUUGAAAAUAUAUUAGGCCAACGUGUUAUAAUGUUCUUUGUCUAUUUUAUUUUAAAAUAACUGAAAACCAAGAAAGCCAUGCAUGGCUUGUUCCAAUAAUAGUCUUCCCCAGUGUGGUCUGAACUCUGUUUUAAGUAAGACACUUAAUGUCUAACCCUAUUAUAAUUUGCAAACAUUGGUAGCCUAAGGCAGACAGAAUCUUAAUUUGAAUUUUAAGUGGAAAGUUAAUUGUUUUGUAAAUUAAUCAGUAACUUGGCUUAGCUCUAUUUGCCCUGUUAAUUACUUUUCGCUGUCCUGUUAACUCCAAUGUUACAAUGAAAUGUCAUUUCUUGGGUUCCCAUAUUCAUGGCUCACCAUAGGGAUAGAGGGAUGUGUGUGCAGGUGUGUAUGGGUGUGUGCUUUCCAAGAAUAGCCCUUUGUCUAAUAAAGGUUUGCUUUAUGAUUUUUCAUACUGAACAACAACCUUUGGUCUGGUAAAGGCAACAACUUACUUCUGGUGAUCCUACUGAAGGAACCAUGAAAGCUGACAGCAUGCAGAA